This 67-nucleotide transfer RNA is filed under the name Marmota monax (woodchuck). RNAcentral's name for it is "tRNA.Ala". The record is from RNAcentral. Lineage: Eukaryota; Metazoa; Chordata; Mammalia; Rodentia; Sciuridae.
GGAUUGUGGCUCAGUGGUACAGCGCUCGCCUUGCACAGGUGGGACCUGGGUUCAAUCCUCAGCACCA